Molecule: ribosomal RNA, 465 nt
Filed under: Vreelandella stevensii
Lineage: Bacteria; Pseudomonadati; Pseudomonadota; Gammaproteobacteria; Oceanospirillales; Halomonadaceae
Description: partial 16S ribosomal RNA
Rfam family: Bacterial small subunit ribosomal RNA
Source: RNAcentral
CCUACGGGGGGCUGCAGUGGGGAAUAUUGGACAAUGGGCGAAAGCCUGAUCCAGCCAUGCCGCGUGUGUGAAGAAGGCCUUCGGGUUGUAAAGCACUUUCAGUGGGGAAGAAAGCCUUGGGGCUAAUACCCUCGAGGAAGGACAUCACCCACAGAAGAAGCACCGGCUAACUCCGUGCCAGCAGCCGCGGUAAUACGGAGGGUGCGAGCGUUAAUCGGAAUUACUGGGCGUAAAGCGCGCGUAGGCGGUCUGAUAAGCCGGUUGUGAAAGCCCCGGGCUCAACCUGGGAACGGCAUCCGGAACUGUCAGGCUAGAGUGCAGGAGAGGAAGGUAGAAUUCCCGGUGUAGCGGUGAAAUGCGUAGAGAUCGGGAGGAAUAACAGUGGCGAAGGCGGCCUUCUGGACUGACACUGACGCUGAGGUGCGAAAGCGUGGGUAGCAAACAGGAUUAGAUACCCUAGUAGUC